Molecule: ribosomal RNA, 253 nt
Filed under: uncultured bacterium
Lineage: Bacteria
Description: partial 16S ribosomal RNA
Rfam family: Bacterial small subunit ribosomal RNA
Source: RNAcentral
UACGAAGGGGGCUAGCGUUGCUCGGAAUUACUGGGCGUAAAGGGAGCGUAGGCGGAUAGUUUAGUCAGAGGUGAAAGCCCAGGGCUCAACCUUGGAACUGCCUUUGAUACUGGCUAUCUUGAGUACGGGAGAGGUGAGUGGAACUCCGAGUGUAGAGGUGAAAUUCGUAGAUAUUCGGAAGAACACCAGUGGCGAAGGCGACUCACUGGCCCGUUACUGACGCUGAGGCUCGAAAGCGUGGGGAGCAAACAGG